Molecule: small nucleolar RNA, 96 nt
Filed under: Oncorhynchus kisutch (coho salmon)
Lineage: Eukaryota; Metazoa; Chordata; Actinopteri; Salmoniformes; Salmonidae
Description: Small nucleolar RNA U13 (ENSOKIG00005032593.1)
Rfam family: Small nucleolar RNA U13
Source: Rfam by way of RNAcentral
AUCCUUUGGUUCAUAAAUAUGAUGAACGGGUUAAUCACAGACGUUGUGUGAAAUGUACAACCUUAUUGUUACGCAAUGUACAUCAGCCUUCUGAUU